RNAcentral lists this ribosomal RNA (1549 nucleotides) under Salmonella enterica. RNAcentral describes it as "partial 23S ribosomal RNA". It matches the Rfam family "Bacterial large subunit ribosomal RNA", at positions 1398 to 2925 of the family's 2925-position model. Lineage: Bacteria; Pseudomonadati; Pseudomonadota; Gammaproteobacteria; Enterobacterales; Enterobacteriaceae. The record is from RNAcentral.
GAGGCCGAAAGGCGUAGUCGAUGGGAAACGGGUUAAUAUUCCCGUACUUGGUGUUACUGCGAAGGGGGGACGGAGAAGGCUAUGUUGGCCGGGCGACGGUUGUCCCGGUUUAAGCGUGUAGGUGUGUGUUCCAGGUAAAUCCGGUUCACUUUAACACUGAGGCGUGAUGACGAGGCACUACGGUGCUGAAGCAACAAAUGCCCUGCUUCCAGGAAAAGCCUCUAAGCAUCAGGUAACAUCAAAUCGUACCCCAAACCGACACAGGUGGUCAGGUAGAGAAUACCAAGGCGCUUGAGAGAACUCGGGUGAAGGAACUAGGCAAAAUGGUGCCGUAACUUCGGGAGAAGGCACGCUGACACGUAGGUGAAGUGAUUUACUCAUGGAGCUGAAGUCAGUCGAAGAUACCAGCUGGCUGCAACUGUUUAUUAAAAACACAGCACUGUGCAAACACGAAAGUGGACGUAUACGGUGUGACGCCUGCCCGGUGCCGGAAGGUUAAUUGAUGGGGUCAGCGCAAGCGAAGCUCCUGAUCGAAGCCCCGGUAAACGGCGGCCGUAACUAUAACGGUCCUAAGGUAGCGAAAUUCCUUGUCGGGUAAGUUCCGACCUGCACGAAUGGCGUAAUGAUGGCCAGGCUGUCUCCACCCGAGACUCAGUGAAAUUGAACUCGCUGUGAAGAUGCAGUGUACCCGCGGCAAGACGGAAAGACCCCGUGAACCUUUACUAUAGCUUGACACUGAACAUUGAGCCUUGAUGUGUAGGAUAGGUGGGAGGCUUUGAAGUGUGGACGCCAGUCUGCAUGGAGCCGGCCUUGAAAUACCACCCUUUAAUGUUUGAUGUUCUAACGUGGACCCGUGAUCCGGGUUGCGGACAGUGUCUGGUGGGUAGUUUGACUGGGGCGGUCUCCUCCUAAAGAGUAACGGAGGAGCACGAAGGUUGGCUAAUCCUGGUCGGACAUCAGGAGGUUAGUGCAAUGGCAUAAGCCAGCUUGACUGCGAGCGUGACGGCGCGAGCAGGUGCGAAAGCAGGUCAUAGUGAUCCGGUGGUUCUGAAUGGAAGGGCCAUCGCUCAACGGAUAAAAGGUACUCCGGGGAUAACAGGCUGAUACCGCCCAAGAGUUCAUAUCGACGGCGGUGUUUGGCACCUCGAUGUCGGCUCAUCACAUCCUGGGGCUGAAGUAGGUCCCAAGGGUAUGGCUGUUCGCCAUUUAAAGUGGUACGCGAGCUGGGUUUAGAACGUCGUGAGACAGUUCGGUCCCUAUCUGCCGUGGGCGCUGGAGAACUGAGGGGGGCUGCUCCUAGUACGAGAGGACCGGAGUGGACGCAUCACUGGUGUUCGGGUUGUCAUGCCAAUGGCACUGCCCGGUAGCUAAAUGCGGAAGAGAUAAGUGCUGAAAGCAUCUAAGCACGAAACUUGCCCCGAGAUGAGUUCUCCCUGAGACUUUAGGUCUCCUGAAGGAACGUUGAAGACGACGACGUUGAUAGGCCGGGUGUGUAAGCGCAGCGAUGCGUUGAGCUAACCGGUACUAAUGAACCGUGAGGCUUAACCUU